AUUGAACGCUGGCGGAAUGCUUUACACAUGCAAGUCGAGCGGCAGCGCGGGGGCAACCCUGGCGGCGAGCGGCGAACGGGUGAGUAACACAUCGGAACGUACCCAGUUGUGGGGGAUAGCCCGGCGAAAGCCGGAUUAAUACCGCAUACGACCUGAGGGUGACAGGGGGGGAUCGCAAGACCUCUCGCAGUUGGAGCGGCCGAUGGCGGAUUAGCUAGUUGGUGAGGUAAAGGCUCACCAAGGCGACGAUCCGUAGCUGGUCUGAGAGGACGACCAGCCACACUGGAACUGGGACACGGUCCAGACUCCUACGGGAGGCAGCAGUGGGGAAUUUUGGACAAUGGGGGCAACCCUGAUCCAGCCAUUCCGCGUGAGUGAAGAAGGCCUUCGGGUUGUAAAGCUCUUUCGGCAGGAACGAAACGGUGGAGGCUAAUACCUUUCAUCAAUGACGGUACCUGAAGAAGAAGCACCGGCUAACUACGUGCCAGCCGCCGCGGUAA
Molecule: ribosomal RNA, 500 nt
Filed under: uncultured bacterium
Lineage: Bacteria
Description: partial 16S ribosomal RNA
Rfam family: Bacterial small subunit ribosomal RNA
Source: RNAcentral